GAGUUAAAACUAUAUAUUUGUUAAUGGCAUGUAUAGUGAUUUCCAAUAUGUGCUCCUAAUUGAUUAAGUCGGGAGGGAAGAUGAAUUCUCCAAAUGUUCUGGUAGAAUAAUGAGCUCAUCUUAAUUAAGUAGACAUGUCUGCAAAUUCUAUACAUCUCCCUUAGAGGCAUACUUGUAAUUGUCUCUUUACUUUUGACAGUCUUGUCUUUAGUUAUGUAUUUUCUCAUUUUAUUCUUGGGUAAUUGUUUGUAUUUGGGAGAACACCUCAUUUCUUGCUGUUGCAAGCAUGAUUUUUCCACCAUCACCUUCUCUCAACUGGAAGCAUCUAUGUUGUGGGCUCUUGGAGCUUUGAAAUGGCACCGAAAAAAAAAAAAAAAAUCAAAUAUUUGUAAUGAAAUUCAUAACCCCACAGAAGGGUACUUUUCAUAGGAAGGUCCUUGUGUAGUAGUGGAACUUAGAUUUCUUUAUGAUUUUUGGUUUUGACUAUGUGCUAUGUAGAGAAAAAAUCUUCAUCCGAAGACAUGAAGGGAGCUUCUGUUGGUACUAAAUCCGAUCCACGCAUCCAAAGAACCAAGCACAUGCUGCAUGAGAUGGAAAAGUCUCAAACUGAGUUGUGGGUGAGAUUGGUUCCUUACAAACCCAAUGUUAAUUCGGGGGAGCUUCAAACACUAUCCAUUAGUUCUACUACAAUUUGAUCUUCAUAUGGAAAUGGCUCUAUCCACUUCUUCAGUUACUGUACAUUGCAGAUAACAAUCUUGAGAACAACCCAUGGCAUGGAUUUGAUGAGUGGUCACUCGAGAUAAAAACCAAUGUGCCUGAAUGAAGUUCUGAAAAUGAUGAAGUGAACAAGCUUAUCAGUUCAACCCCGGGUGAAAGGGAGAGAGAUAUAAUACGCCUUUACUAUGUCCUGGAUAAAGAAUCCCAUACAUGGGAAGACAUUAGUAGACAAGCUGAAGGCGAGUGGUGACCUCACCAAGGAUGUAGAGCUAAAGGGCGUGUUCUUAGCCAUUGGUUAGAGUGAGAGGCUACGGAAGCUAUUGAUGUCUAUUGGUUGAAAUUUAAGUUUAUUCAGUUGGAAUGCUGAAGUUUAAAGAAUUAGCAGAGGCUUCUAUUAUGGUUCUCAGAUGUCGAAGAGCAUCAAAGCAUGCUUGCCCUAUUGCCGACUGGUCUCAUCUUCUGUUUUGUGGUUGUGAUUUGCUGAGGAGAUGUUGCAGCUACUUUCAGUCCCCAACUAAUGUACGAUUAUGCCUCUUUGGCUAUAUCAGGCUAUCUGGCUGCAUAGAAAGUUGUAUUGCUAUAAACAUUUGUAGCAUGGAAAAUGGACAUUCAUGUGCAUUUGUAGUCUGAAAUCAUUAAAUAGACCGUUUAACUAUUUUAUUGGCAUUGUGUUGAUUAUUGUCUUAAUGAAUGUUAAAUGGGUGAAACAUGCACGCACAUGUUUAAUCAUUGAUUGAUUAUGAUAUUUUUAAACAAUCGUGUGAAUUAUUUUUUGAAUGACUAUCAGGUGUAUGAUUAA
Molecule: long non-coding RNA, 1516 nt
Organism: Magnolia sinica
Lineage: Eukaryota; Viridiplantae; Streptophyta; Magnoliopsida; Magnoliales; Magnoliaceae
Exons: 6
Source: RefSeq, a predicted model, not a curated record